Molecule: ribosomal RNA, 450 nt
Filed under: uncultured bacterium
Lineage: Bacteria
Description: bacterial SSU rRNA
Rfam family: Bacterial small subunit ribosomal RNA
Source: RNAcentral
GUGGGGAAUUUUGGACAAUGGGCGCAAGCCUGAUCCAGCUAUUCCGCGUGUGGGAUGAAGGCCCUCGGGUUGUAAACCACUUUUGUAGAGAACGAAAAGACACCAUCGAAUAAAUGGUGUUGCUGACGGUACUCUAAGAAUAAGCACCGGCUAACUACGUGCCAGCAGCCGCGGUAAUACGUAGGGUGCGAGCGUUAAUCGGAAUUACUGGGCGUAAAGGGUGCGCAGGCGGUUGAGUAAGACAGAUGUGAAAUCCCCGAGCUUAACUCGGGAAUGGCAUAUGUGACUGCUCGACUAGAGUGUGUCAGAGGGAGGUGGAAUUCCACGUGUAGCAGUGAAAUGCGUAGAUAUGUGGAAGAACACCGAUGGCGAAGGCAGCCUCCUGGGACAUAACUGACGCUCAGGCACGAAAGCGUGGGGAGCAAACAGGAUUAGAAACCCCAGUAGUCC